CUUUCAUAUGUCAAGCCAGUUGUAAUUUGAGGGUGCACUAUAUAUGCAAACCUUAAAUGUUAUUUUUUUCCAAGGACCUAUGUUUGGGUCGUGUUUUUUUNNNNNNNNNNNNNNNNNNNNNNNNNNNNNNNNNNNNNNNNNNNNNUUUUUUUUUUUUUUUUUUUUUUUUUUUGUAUAUUGAAGAUCAAACUCAGGACCACAUGCUUGCCAGGCAGGGACUGUGCCACUGAGAUAAAUCCCAGGCUCUAAGUGCUCAUUUCUUUCUUUCUUUUUGAACAGGGGUCAUUGCACUUGCGAGGCAGGCGGAGGAACCACUGAGCUAAAUCCCCCGCCCCAAGUGCUCACUUUUUAGUCAAUCACUGUGCCAGAAAGAUGCAGCAUGAGCCGCUUGGAUCACCCUUCACUGAACAACGUAGUGUGCAUAGUUCGACAGACUCAUGAAACAGAAUGAAGUUGGGAAGAAACAAGCGAAAUAACAAAACCCAGGGCCUCUGUAGUCUCUUCUCAGUGUUCACAUGUGACUGAAGGUGGUGCCUGAACUUUGAAGAAAAGCAGCUUGAAAAUUACUAAUGCAGAGAAGGUGGAAAGCAGCAAAUUACCAGAGAUGAACUUGGUUAUUUUCACCAAAGGUGAUGAAGUUAUAAGAUCACUUCCACAACUCAGGAACUUUUUGGAAGUAUUCUGGAGUGGUGAUUGCAAAAGGUUUCGAACAUCAGAAACGACAACACCCUCUUCCACCAAAAGGCGCAAACGGUAUUCUUUCCUAACCUUCUGUGCAAGGUCCUGUGACCUCAGAAAGCAUAGAAUCUUAUUACCGAUUCUACUUCCUGUAGGCUGAGCUGCUACUUGAAAUGUCCUUUUUGCUUUAGGCCAUGGGUAAUGAAUGACCUUGGAAAAAUUAAUCCAGACUGCAUCUGCAGAAAAGAACUCUUCUCUAAAUAAGGUGCACGUGGCAAGGUUUGGGAGUCCACAUGCAUACCUGGCUGCUGCUGCACAUGGCCAGCUCUCUCUAGGCCCUGCUCAGCACCCCUCUGAUUUGGAAGUAGGGCUGUGCCAUCCCUGCUGAGAACAGGGCACUGAGAAGUGGUUGCUACAGGGAACGAUCAUCACAAGUGCCAACCACCACUGCAAUUUUAUUGUUCUCCUUGUCAUUCCCUUAUGGCUAUUCUCCAAUAACUCUCCAGCUGAAAGCCACACAUGGUAUUUAUGUAAUAAAACCAGCCCUUCCUAACGUCCAAGUGCUUUGUGGCCCCUUUAGGGAAUACACUUGACUUUGGCAAUUCGGCAUUUGUAGUCAGGGAGGACAGGAAAGAAAGGACAAAUAAAAUUAUGGUGAUGCAAAGUGCUACUUGAAAAGCAUGUAACAAAGGGGAUGUAUGUGAUAAGAAGAGAAAAAUAUCCUCAGGAAAGACUUUAGGGAGGAAGAAUUUGAGAAAGUCCUUAACAAAGGUCACAGUUUAUGCACCAGAGGUCACCUUCUCUAAAGGCAGUGGUGGGAACUGGCAGGAAAGGUUUGGAAACGGAGAGAACAGCAACCCUGGAAUGUGGGCAUGUGGGGGAUCAGCGAAACUACUGGUGGAUCCAAGAUUGUGGGAGGUGGAAGGGAGGCCCCUUUGUGGAGAGGACAUUACCAUAUCUGAUCCAUGGACA
Long non-coding RNA from Fukomys damarensis (Damara mole-rat), 1650 nucleotides. NCBI's taxonomy places the organism in Eukaryota, Metazoa, Chordata, Mammalia, Rodentia, Bathyergidae. The record is from Ensembl.